This is a non-coding RNA of Paramuricea clavata, 1293 nucleotides long. The record is from the annotation of a GenBank genome assembly. NCBI's taxonomy places the organism in Eukaryota, Metazoa, Cnidaria, Anthozoa, Malacalcyonacea, Plexauridae.
CGAUCCCAGAAAAAAAUUCCCUGCCAGAAGUAAAUCACUCAAAAGUUAAAUGGUCGGCCCCUUAGGGUUAUAGGGUUAGUUAACAUGUGUCGUGAAUUUGCUGCCGUAUUGAUAAUUUCGGACGUGUUUAACAAUUUACUUAUAUAGUAAAUUCGAAGGUCGAGCUCAUGCUUGGAAAAUGCUGAUAGCUACACAGGCUCAUUUUCGUAAUCAAGAUCUAAUAAAAAAAAAAAAAAAAUAAAAAAAUGAACGUUAUGAUUGUGGUAAAUGUAGCUACCCAGGUGAAGGUAUGAAUGAAUGAAUGAAUGAUUUAUUGAUUUGGUUUACCACAAUACAAAUAAGUAAUAGUUAUAUAUAUAUAUAUAUAUAUAUAAAUAAAAUGUUAUUAGAAAGAUAUGUAAGUUGAUAGAGAAAAAUAAUAAUUUUGAACAAAAGUGGUGAGGAAGCCCAAAUAGAAACCAACAGGCUUAUAGAAAUUUGGGCUACCUCAUGCUAUGUUGUAUUAAAUACAAAUGUUACGAAAAAUCAUCACGUGACGUAUUUGAAAUAAAUAAAUUAUUGAGAUUAUGUGUAUUGAGAAAAGAAAAACAAUUUUAACAUAUACUGAAAUCUAAAUACAGAUGAAGAGUUAUACGUAUAUCGGGAUUCAACGUAUUAAAGAAUUUAGGACCCUGAUAAUUGACCGAAAACUGACGAAUAUUUGUCCUACGUUGGAGGGCAUAAAAAGUUUUAGCAUUUCGUGUAUUAUAAUUAUGAGUCUGAGUUAUCUGACUACCGUAUGAAAAUAGACCUUCAAAACAUCAGGAAGUAAUUUUUGUUGAUAUAGAUACAUAAAUUUACCCAAUUGAGGUAAAUAGAUAUCCUCAAAUUUCAGUAUUUUGUGUUUGUAAAAAAUAGGAGUAGUAUGAGCACCGAAAAAUUGUUUGUCGACAAUUCGUACUGCACGUUUUUGCAACAGUACAAUACGAUUAAGAUUACUUGAAUAUGUUGAACCCCAAAUCGUAACGCAAAUUUAAAGAUACGGAUAUACUAGUGCAAAAUAUAAAAUCCGCAAGGCAGAUUUGAAUAAAUAAAAUCUUGACCUAUAGAUAAUUCCAAUUGGUUUUGAAAUUUUACGUGCAAUAUAAGAUACAUGAGCUUUCCAUGUUAAAUUCUCUUCCAAAAUAACGCCAAGAAAACAAACUUCUUUAACCCUGUCAAUUAUGUUAUUGUUAAUCGCAAGUGCCAGGUUAUACACUUGUCUUUUUUGCCUGGGUUUAAAUAUUAUGUAAUUUGAUUUCUUUAUAUUCAAAG